CAGUGGAGGAAGAUUCCACCCAGAGAGUUGUCGAUUGAUCUGGUAGCUGGCGAGCGGCUUGGACGAGCAAUCGGACGGGCGGAAGCCUCGCGACAAAGGUCGCCCUUGGGCGAUUGAGCGAUCCAGCGGGCCGUAACGUGU
RNAcentral lists this non-coding RNA (141 nucleotides) under Rhodoblastus sphagnicola. Lineage: Bacteria; Pseudomonadati; Pseudomonadota; Alphaproteobacteria; Hyphomicrobiales; Rhodoblastaceae. The record is from RNAcentral.